GAAAUGCGAUAAGUAAUGUGAAUUGCAGAAUUCAGUGAAUCAUCGAAUCUUUGAACGCACCUUGCGCUCCCUGGUAUUCCGAGGAGCAUGCCUGUUUGAGUGUCAUUAAAUUCUCAACCUCACCAACUUUGUUGUGUGAAGGCUUGGAUGUGGGGGUUGCAGGUCCACUCUCGUGGUCUGCUCCUCUGAAAUGUAUUAGUGGGUUGUUCCCCUAAUCUAUUGGUGUGAUAAUUAUCUACGCCGUGGAUUGGGUUGGUUACUUUAAGACCUGCUUCUAACCGUCCCUCGCUUGGACAACUUUGACAAUUUUGACCUCAAAUCAGGUAAGACUACCCGCUGAACUUAA
RNAcentral lists this unclassified non-coding RNA (346 nucleotides) under uncultured Psathyrellaceae. RNAcentral's name for it is "sequence contains ITS1". The stretch from base 1 to 105 matches the Rfam family "5.8S ribosomal RNA", at positions 50 to 154 of the family's 154-position model. The record is from RNAcentral. Lineage: Eukaryota; Fungi; Basidiomycota; Agaricomycetes; Agaricales; Psathyrellaceae.